UAAAGCAGCCAUAUCACCCUGCAACUCACAACUGGCAACCCACUGAAGCUCAGCAGGUGUGAGCCUGGUCAGUACCUGGAUGGGAGACCUCCUGGGAAACACUGCAGUUGCUGCUGGAA
This is a ribosomal RNA of Lepisosteus oculatus (spotted gar), 119 nucleotides long. NCBI's taxonomy places the organism in Eukaryota, Metazoa, Chordata, Actinopteri, Semionotiformes, Lepisosteidae. The record is from Ensembl.